Nothoprocta perdicaria is the source of this 64-nucleotide small nucleolar RNA. NCBI's taxonomy places the organism in Eukaryota, Metazoa, Chordata, Aves, Tinamiformes, Tinamidae. The record is from Ensembl.
AGCCUCUGAUGUACAUUUUAGAGUAGUGGACAGAAGGGAUUUCUGAAAACUCCGUACUGAGGCU